UCACUUCUUCAACAUCGUACAGUGUGAGUGACGCAAAUAAUCUUCUCGACAAGUUAUUUAAUCAGUCUGGUUACAAUAAACUGGUCCAACCAGACAAACAAGUAAUUGUAUUUGCAGGAUACACAUUGCAGAGUGUAAAUUCAUUAGAUAUCAAGAAACAGAUAUUUUCGACAACAGGAUUUUUUACCUUGGAAUGGCAAGACGACCGAUUGAAAUGGGACACAAGUUAUGGAGACAUUCAAUCAGUAUUUGUACCAGUUGACCGAGUUUGGCACCCCGACUUGGUUGUUCUUAACUUAAUUCACGAGUUAGAGCGGAAUCUUGGUGCUGAAAGACCAGUUCGAAUACAUAAGGACGGAAAGCUGGUUUGGAAACCAAUCGCAAUGCUGUCCACGUUUUGUUUAACUCUUGUCUACUUCUUCCCAUUUGACCGUCACACAUGCAGUUUAGAAUUAACUAGCUUAGAUCACCCUGUAUCGGAUGUCUGUUUAAAAUACUUUAAAAACCCAGUAGAUAUAGAUGUACACUAUUCACAGGCGGAUUGGCAGGUUAUAAACACCUUAAAUAAUUACAAUUCUACGACAGCAUGCCCAGACUUAUCAGGGUGGCCAGAAUGGCUAGGAUUGCCAGAAUGGAACUCGUAUUUGUUUUUCAACCUGGAGUUAAAAAGGCUUCCUGGGCAUUACAUAAUGAUCGUUUUAUUUCCAACCAUUCUUACUGCAGUAUUAACAUAUGCUGCAUUUUUUCUACCACUUAAAUCCGGAGUCAGGAUUGGAUAUAUUGUUACAGUGGUACUUGCUUAUGCGGUGUUAUUGACGUUAUUUGCAGAGACAAUGCCGUCAUCUACAAAAUUUCCUUCAGUUCUAGUGGUGUUAUUUACGAUAACUUUAGGAAUGGCUUUUUUGUUAAUUAUCAUAACGAUAUUUGUCACGAGACUAUACUAUAAACCGAAACGGAGCAUUGCUCCAAACUGGAUGCAUUCAUUGGUAAGGAAACUCCGGAAGUUAAAGUGCAGAGCAAGAAGAAUACAUCAUAUUGAACAAAAUCAGGCUAUAGAAGAUGGACGACCAAAAGAAGAAGUAGCAAGCGUUGCAAAAUGUAGCCCAUUAAAACCAUACAGCAACAAGGAGCUAGCAGAAUUCUUUGAUUAUUUGCUGUUUAUUGUUUUUACAAUUUUUUACAUUUUUAUGCUUGCAAUUGUUCCAAUCGGAGCGACCAUAUGGUUUUAUAUAGCUACAGGUAAACUCUAAAUAUGUUGUCGUCAUCGCACUUUUUAUCCUUUACUUUGAUUUUUUCUCUUUUUUGUCGGGCAACAAUUGCACAGUACAUACACUCAAUUCAACCACCUUGUUGGUAUAUUGUGCAUCACCAAUAAUCAUUUGUACUAUGUUAUCAUUACGCACAUUUUAAAUACUUAUCAAUUAUGGACUUUUGACGAGGUCAAUACGUUAUAUAUGGACCUAUUCAGAUUAUAUUGAACAAGGACGAAGUCAAUACAAUCUAACCGGUCAAUAUAUAACGUAUUGACUGAGUGAAAGUCCUUAAUUUAUAUAUUACAUAUGAAAAUAAUGAAUUAGGAAAACGGCGUUCAAUCCUCAUUCUGUGUAUUUUUAAAUUGUAUUUUGCAAGAAUUUUAGCAUGUUAUUGAAAAUAUCAAUAUUCUUUGAACAACUUCAUAGCUUUUUGCAUUAGCUUUCUUGUAUUCUUAGCGUCUGCAUUUAACAUAAAUUCUUGAAAUCUCCUGAUAAACUUGCAAAUUUUCUUUUCGUCUGCUGCGAAGCUUACUCCAUGGUUGUUAUGUGUGACGUCAUGACAUCAUGAAUCUAAAUUUAGCAAGAUGUUUUUAUAUUGACCGUCAAUAUACAUAUAAAUAGAAACAUAGCAUCAAUAUACUUAAAAAUAGAAACAAGGCUUCGAAUAUGUAACAUAACCUUUGAAACACGUGAUCGUAAUAUCCAAUGAAAACAGUGGACUACUACACCUUAUGUAAUAUUAUCAUUUACGUACAACAAAAUACUACACAUAUAAUUUGUUUUUUCAUAUUAUAAAUGGUUACGAGCAUAAAUAUUUCAGCUGUUAAAAUGUAUUAAUCGCCGUCGAUAUUAUGUAAAAGAGAUAUUUAUAAUAAAGUAUAAAAUCUAUAUUUUGUGUACUUAGUUUAGACAUUUUCGUAUAGUUAACCCUUGAGCAUUUCUGAAUAGAUAUCAAUUGCCGGACUGUGACUCUGGUGAGGUUAAAUUGGUACCAUUUAUGUUGUUUGGCCUGCAGAGCAGUGAUAUCUAAGUAUACGGUAUAGGUUUUGCUCAUUGUUGCAGCCCGUACUGUAACUAGUUAUUUACUCUUUUUAACUCUAAUUGACAGUUGUCUCAUUAAGAAUCAUACCUCUAAAUAUGUUUUUGUAAAUCUAAUUUUCAAAUCAAAUUGGUCGGCACAAACUGCUAGAUACCAUUUAUAAAUUCGCAGCCCCUUUUUCAAUGGUUUAUGUAAUAAUUUUUUUCAAUUUGUUGUUAUAUAUUUUAUAUAUGUUUACAUUCCAUUUUUGAAUAAAGCUUCUUUGGGAUUAUGACAAUUAAUACUGAUAAAAUAGAAAGCAACAUAUACGAGCCAAAGAAGAUAUUAUGUCAAGAUCAAAUGUUCAACUUUUACGGACUUGGUAUAUAAUAUUACAAACUAUAAUAUUAAGUAUAUAUCGUAGAGAGUCUAGAGAAGUUGCACCAAAAUUAUAUUUACCAAUAACCAUAAGAAUUUUAACUGAUAAACUAUUGUAUUAAGAGCAACCCAAAAAGUUACCAUGUCUUGGACAGUCGGAUGAAGAGGGGACAGCUGCCUUUUCAUGGAUUUCCGUAAAUUUUAUGGACACCAUCACAAAUUGGUUGAUCCAUACGAUGCGUCUGUGUCUAAACUAACUAAGGACAGUUUUACCACAUCUUAGAUAGUGGUUUACCAUUUACGUCGCCUGGUCUUUUAAGUACCGAACAUGACCUAUUCCCGAAUAUGACUAUUUUGCUGAGUGUGAAUUCGCAUUGCUAUAAAACGUGUCACGGUAUUUAUUUAUCCAACAUUCAUGUAUUCAGUAAUGAUGUUGUUUUUGUAAUUCUGAUCGGAUAUUGUUAAAUGUCUUAUCGUUUGUAGUUGAAACUCUUUUUUUAUUUUCUAUUCGUAUGUUAAAGUAAAGAUAAUUAAUCACCCAGUUCUUUUAUAAGAUUUUAGUUUAACAUGUUUAAAGCAACCAUAUGUACACUAUUUAUUUGUUUUACAGUUUGACCUAGACGAAAUACGGAUAUAGCUAGAUAAAACAAUUAAUUAUCUAAUUACUAACAUAAUUCUAUAUUAAUAUUAUUGUAAUUGUUAUAAAAUACAUCAAAUAACAAAAUUACAAACCUAAUCUUGAUUUAUAUCUAAUUUUUAUAAAUGUUCCUGUGACGUCACUUUUGUGGCGUUGUUCCAGUCGUGUGACGGACAGUUCGUGGUUCUUUUGUGCUGUUUUUGUGUGCUGUCCUAGGUUGUUUUACGUGUUCGUUUUUAUUUUGUGGUUAGCAUGUCGAAAUGUUCUAUUGUAUUGUUUAUUUGUGUAUUUCUCUGUCCUGAAUGUUCUUGCAUUUAUUUGUACUGUGUUCUUGUCAUGUAAUGAUAUCAUUUUAGUGUUAUAUUUAACAUUGUCAUAAAAGCGCGAGGUUUGGCUAGCCACAAAACCAGGUUUAACCCACCAGUUUUUUUUUCUUAAAAUGUCCUGUACCAAGUCAGGAAAAUGACAAUUGUUAUCUUAUAGUUCGUUUCUGUGUGUGUUGCAUUGUCGUUUGUGUUUGUUGCACUUCAGUGUUUCUGUUGUUUCUUUGUUUUCCUCUUAUAGUUGAUGUGUUUCCGUCGGUUUAAGUUUUUAACCCGGAUUUCUUUUCUCUCAAUCGAUUUAUGACUUUCGAACAGCGGUAUACUACUGUUGCCUUUAUUUUCCUAACACUAGAAGGCGAAGGAAAAGCUAAGAUGGAAUAAUUAUACAACAUUUUUCUUUUUUUUCUUUUUAUUAUAUCAUAUUGUUUUUUUGAAUGUUAUAUAUAUAAUUUUUUAGAUGUAAUAAAAUGCU
Molecule: long non-coding RNA, 4081 nt
Organism: Mytilus californianus (California mussel)
Lineage: Eukaryota; Metazoa; Mollusca; Bivalvia; Mytilida; Mytilidae
Exons: 5
Source: RefSeq, a predicted model, not a curated record